Camelus ferus (Wild Bactrian camel) is the source of this 72-nucleotide transfer RNA. It matches the Rfam family "tRNA". From Rfam's summary of the family: Transfer RNA (tRNA) molecules are approximately 80 nucleotides in length. Their secondary structure includes four short double-helical elements and three loops (D, anti-codon, and T loops). Further hydrogen bonds mediate the characteristic L-shaped molecular structure. tRNAs have two regions of fundamental functional importance: the anti-codon, which is responsible for specific mRNA codon recognition, and the 3' end, to which the tRNAs corresponding amino acid is attached (by aminoacyl-tRNA synthetases). tRNAs cope with the degeneracy of the genetic code in two manners: having more than one tRNA (with a specific anti-codon) for a particular amino acid; and 'wobble' base-pairing, i.e. permitting non-standard base-pairing at the 3rd anti-codon position. NCBI's taxonomy places the organism in Eukaryota, Metazoa, Chordata, Mammalia, Artiodactyla, Camelidae. The record is from Rfam.
GAGGGUAUAGCUCAGUGGUACAGUGCAUGCUUGGCAUACACAGGGUCCUGGGUUCAAUCCCCAGUACCUCCA